AAACGUAGGUCACAAGCGUUGUCCGGAAUUACUGGGUGUAAAGGGAGCGCAGGCGGGAAGACAAGUUGGAAGUGAAAUCCAUGGGCUCAACCCAUGAACUGCUUUCAAAACUGUUUUUCUUGAGUAGUGCAGAGGUAGGCGGAAUUCCCGGUGUAGCGGUGGAAUGCGUAGAUAUCGGGAGGAACACCAGUGGCGAAGGCGGCCUACUGGGCACCAACUGACGCUGAGGCUCGAAAGUGUGGGUAGCAAACAGGAUUAGAUACCCUGGUAGUCCACACUGUAAACGAUGAUUACUAGGUGUUGGAGGAUUGACCCCUUCAGUGCCGCAGUUAACACAAUAAGUAAUCCACCUGGGGAGUACGACCGCAAGGUUGAAACUCAAAGGAAUUGACGGGGGCCCGCACAAGCAGUGGAGUAUGUGGUUUAAUUCGACGCAACGCGAAGAACCUUACCAAGUCUUGACAUCCUGCGACGCACAUAGAAAUAUGUGUUUCCUUCGGGACGCAGAGACAGGUGGUGCAUGGUUGUCGUCAGCUCGUGUCGUGAGAUGUUGGGUUAAGUCCCGCAACGAGCGCAACCCUUAUGGUCAGUUACUACGCAAGAGGACUCUGGCCAGACUGCCGUUGACAAAACGGAGGAAGGUGGGGAUGACGUCAAAUCAUCAUGCCCUUUAUGACUUGGGCUACACACGUACUACAAUGGCGUUAAACAAAGAGAAGCAAGACCGCGAGGUGGAGCAAAACUCAGAAACAACGUCCCAGUUCGGACUGCAGGCUGCAACUCGCCUGCACGAAGUCGGAAUUGCUAGUAAUCGCAGAUCAGCAUGCUGCGGUGAAUACGUUCCCGGGCCUUGUACACACCGCCCGUCACACCAUGAGAGCCGGGGGGACCCGAAGUCGGUAGUCUAACCGCAAGGAGGACGCCGCCGAAGGUAAAACUGGUGAUUGGGGUG
RNAcentral lists this ribosomal RNA (952 nucleotides) under uncultured bacterium. RNAcentral describes it as "bacterial SSU rRNA". It matches the Rfam family "Bacterial small subunit ribosomal RNA", at positions 523 to 1482 of the family's 1533-position model. The record is from RNAcentral.